RNAcentral lists this ribosomal RNA (506 nucleotides) under uncultured bacterium. RNAcentral describes it as "partial 16S ribosomal RNA". It matches the Rfam family "Bacterial small subunit ribosomal RNA", at positions 29 to 523 of the family's 1533-position model. The record is from RNAcentral.
AGUGAACGCUGGCGGUAGGCCUAACACAUGCAAGUCGAACGGCAGCACAGAGGAGCUUGCUCCUUGGGUGGCGAGUGGCGGACGGGUGAGGAGUACAUCGGAAUCUACUCUGUCGUGGGGGAUAACGUAGGGAAACUUACGCUAAUACCGCAUACGACCUACGGGUGAAAGCAGGGGAUCUUCGGACCUUGCGCGAUUGAAUGAGCCGAUGUCGGAUUAGCUAGUUGGCGGGGUAAAGGCCCACCAAGGCGACGAUCCGUAGCUGGUCUGAGAGGAUGAUCAGCCACACUGGAACUGAGACACGGUCCAGACUCCUACGGGAGGCAGCAGUGGGGAAUAUUGGACAAUGGGCGCAAGCCUGAUCCAGCCAUACCGCGUGGGUGAAGAAGGCCUUCGGGUUGUAAAGCCCUCUUGUUGGGAAAGAAAUCCAUCUGGUUAAUACCCGGGUGGGAUGACGGUACCCAAAGAAUAAGCACCGGCUAACUUCGUGCCAGCAGCCGCGGUAA